GGGUGAUUAGCUCAGCUGGUUAGAGCACUUCGUUUACACCGAAGGGGUCGGGAGUUCGAAUCUCUCAUCACCCACCA
RNAcentral lists this transfer RNA (77 nucleotides) under Alphaproteobacteria bacterium. RNAcentral describes it as "tRNA-Val". It matches the Rfam family "tRNA". From Rfam's summary of the family: Transfer RNA (tRNA) molecules are approximately 80 nucleotides in length. RNAcentral also lists the same sequence under 2 other names. Lineage: Bacteria; Pseudomonadati; Pseudomonadota; Alphaproteobacteria. The record is from RNAcentral.